This 115-nucleotide small RNA is filed under the name Fictibacillus enclensis. RNAcentral's name for it is "Bacillus sp. NIOC03 BsrF". It matches the Rfam family "BsrF". The record is from Rfam by way of RNAcentral. Lineage: Bacteria; Bacillati; Bacillota; Bacilli; Caryophanales; Fictibacillaceae.
GCGAUGAGCUUAUUUUGCAUAAGACGAGAUUGACCCGCCGAUUUUAGGCAAUGCACAAUGUGGAGUGCUGUCUCUCGCCGCAAAACGCCAAAAAGACGUUCUUUUAGGACGUCUU